RNAcentral lists this ribosomal RNA (449 nucleotides) under Chlorocoris distinctus. RNAcentral describes it as "partial large subunit ribosomal RNA". Lineage: Eukaryota; Metazoa; Arthropoda; Insecta; Hemiptera; Pentatomidae. The record is from RNAcentral.
CAUGUCUUAAUGUAAUGUAUAUUAAGUUUAACCUGCUCAAUGAUUGUAAAUUAAAUAGCCGCAGUAUUUUGACUGUGCGAAGGUAGCAUAAUCAUUUGUCUUUUAAUUGGAGGCUUGUAUGAAUGGUUGGAUGAGAGGAUUACUUUCUUUAUAUUAAUUAGUUGAAUUUAAUUUUUGGGUUAAAAAGCUUAAAUAUAUAAAUGGGACGAGAAGACCCUAUAGAAUUUUAUUAUUAUAAUUUAUUUAUAUCAUAAUUUAUAUUUUAUUUGAUUAUUAAAAUUAAUAAUUUUGUUGGGGUGAUGGGAAGAUUUUUUUAACUCUUUUAUUUUUUAUUUAUUGAUUUAUAUUUUAUUGGAUCCUAUUAUUAUGGAUUAGUAGAUUAAAUUACCUUAGGGAUAACAGCGUAAUUUUUUUGGAGAGUUCUUAUUGAUAAAGAAGUUUGCGACCUC